UCUGUCUCUAGGUACGCAGCUCUGAUGAGAACUACGUGUCUGUAAUCUCUUGUUCUUUUUAUUCAGAUUGUUGCUCUAUCUGCUUUUUCGUUUCUUGAAGUCUUGAAUUAUAUGUCUAGCUAUGUAGUUAUUGAUUUUGAGCUCAACUUGUAGGAAGGUGGAAUGGGAAAUGAAGCUAUUUUUUUUUUUAACUCUGUUGUGUCGGUCAUUGUGUGGUAAAAUUUUCAGUAGCUAAUUGUAGAAACUUAAAUUGGAUGUGAAGAUGAGAAUUGAUGGACCUGAAGAUUGCUUUGCAUGACAAUUGCAUCCAACUAUUGGUUUGGUACAACUAGAAUUAGAUGGGGAAACACCAUUAGGUUAUGUAUUUCAUUGAUAAACUUAAAUGUUGUUUUGGUAUCCCCAGACUGACUGUGCCACUUUGAAAUGACAACUAAACAUAUGAUUGGAACUUUAUAAUUG
Molecule: unclassified non-coding RNA, 459 nt
Filed under: Hevea brasiliensis (rubber tree)
Lineage: Eukaryota; Viridiplantae; Streptophyta; Magnoliopsida; Malpighiales; Euphorbiaceae
Source: RNAcentral